AUUUAUCGACUUCCUCCUCCUAUACAACUCUCACCACCCAUUGAAAGUCAUCCACCACCAACGCAAUACUCGCCACCCGCUCAAGGUCGCACACCACCUACACAAGCUCAUUCACCACCAACGCAAUACCCGCCACCCACUCAAACUCAUCCACCACCUACUCAAGGUUGCACACCACCUACUCAAGCUCAUCCACCACCAACACAAUUCACACCACCCACUCAAGCUCAUCCUCCACCAAGACAAUACCCACCACCUACUCAAGCUCAUCCACCACCAAGGCAAUACUCACCACCCAGUCAAACACAUCCACCACCAAUGCAAUACUCACCGCCAACUCAAUCUCCACCAAGGCGAUACCUGCCACCCACUCAAGCUCAUCCUCCACCAAAGCAAUACUUGCCACCCACUCAAGGCCAUCCACCACCCACACAAACUCAUCCUCCACCAAUGCAAUACCCACCACCCACUCAAACACAUCCACCACCUACACAAGCUCAUUCACCACCAACGCAAUACCCGCCACCCACUCAAACUCAUCCACCACCUACUCAAGGUUGCACACCACCUACUCAAGCUCAUCCUCCACCAAGACAAUACCCACCACCCACUCAAGCUCAUCCACCACCAAGGCAAUACUCGCCACCCACUCAAACACAUCCACCGCCCACACAGACUCAUCCUCCACCAAGGCAAUACCCACCACCCACUCAAACACAUCCACCACCAAUGCAAUACUCACCGCCAACUCAAACUCCACCUAGGCAAUACCCGCCACCCACUCAAGCUCAUCCUCCACCAAGGCAAUACUCGCCACCCCCUCAAGGCCAUCCACCACCAACUCAAACUCCUCCACAAAGGCAAUACCCGCCUCCCACUCAAGCUCAUUCACCACCAACACAAUACUCGCCACCUACUCAAGGCCAUCCGCCACCCAUUCAAGUUCAUCCUCCACCAAGGCAGUACUCGCCACCCAUUCAAGGCCAUCCACCACCAAUGCAAUACCCACCACCCACUCAAAUACAUCCACCGCCAACUCAAACUCCUCCACAAAGGCAAUACCCGCCACCCACUCAAGCUCAUUCACCACCAACACAAUACUCGCCACCCACUCAAGCUCAUCCUCCACCAAGGCAAUACCCACCACCCAUUCAAGCUCAUCCACCACCAAGGCAAUACUCGCCACCCACUCAGGGCCAUCCACCACCUACACUAACUCACCCUCCACCAAGGCAAUGCCCACCACCCACUCAAACACAUCCACCACCAACUCAAACUCCUCCACCAAGGCAAUACCCGCCACCUACUCAAGCACAUCCACCACCAAGGCUAUACCCACCACCUAUUCAAGCUCAUCCACCACCCACUCAAACACAUCCACCGCCAACGCAAUACCCGCCACCCACACAAGCUCAUCCGCCACCCACUCAAACCCAUCCACCACCCACUCAAACACAUCCACCGCCAACGCAAUACCCGCCACCCACACAAGCUCAUCCGCCACCAAGGCAAUACUCACCACCCAUUCAAACACAUCCACCACCAAUGCAAUACACGCCACCCACUAAAGGUUGUGAACCACCUACUCAAGCUCAUCCUCCACCGAGGCAAUACUCACCUCCAACUCAAACUCAUCCACCACCAACCCAAUACUCGCCGCCCACUCAAAGUCAUCCACCACC
RNAcentral lists this long non-coding RNA (1682 nucleotides) under Gossypium barbadense (sea-island cotton). RNAcentral's name for it is "long non-coding RNA (GBAR_LNC015992)". Lineage: Eukaryota; Viridiplantae; Streptophyta; Magnoliopsida; Malvales; Malvaceae. The record is from RNAcentral.